UGAGCUAGGCUGACACCACUGCACUCUAGCUGGGGUGACAGAGUGAGACUCUGUCUCAAGAAAAGAAAUGAUGUCCAACCUUCUUUGAUCUAAAUUUGUAUGGAUGUGUCAUUAUACAUGUUCUAGAAACUAUGAAAUUCCUAGAAACUUAUGUUAUCAGUCAUAAUUUUGGUUAUUAUGGCAAAACAUUAUGCCACAGAAAUAAUCAAAUCUCCUUGUCAAUUGUUGGUUAUAAUGGACUCUCAUCAGAUCUUUAACCCUGGGCAUUUUAAGUCUUAGCCACAGUUAAUUGCUCUAUCCUAAUGCUUUUUCUGGAAGUUCUUUGUAAACUAUAACCCUAAAAUCCUGGGUCUUCAAGAAAAUCCAUGGAAAAGAUGCUGACAAAUACAGGUUUCUGGUAACUUUAAGAUCAUAUCACUGGAAGGGGUGAGCAUUUCCAGAGCUCUAAUGAAGAAAUUGAUGCCUUCAUGCAACUGCUAACCAAGAUCAAGCAGAAAAAUAUUAAUUACAUAGGAUGAAGUGAACUGAUGCAGAUAAUUUAUAAUGACUUUUUUAUUUGCAAUGUUGCUGAUUCCCUAAAUGUUUUAUUUUCUAGAUUUAAAGAAAUGUUUUCGCUUAUCCAUCUACAGCUUAUAACAAUUCAGUAAAGUAUACAUUUGUAAAUAAAAAUUGAAACACUUACUUUUUCUCCCUACCUGAUCACUCCAGAAUUUGGAAACUAUUUGUUUUAAAUGUUUGCACACAGCCAUCUGUUAAUGCCAAAUGAUCUCUCUCUGUCUGGACUGACAGAAACCCGAAGAAAUGCAUGAUCCUGAGACGCUGUCACCUGUGAAUAGCGUGCUGAGAUGGGAAACCCAACCUGCUGGCAACUGACAGCAGCACUGAUGUCCUGGGUUCAGGUCACACCCUCAUCAAGGUUAGAGUCUGACCAAAAGGGGGAAAUCGUUAAAUAAAAUUUAUAGGAGGUCAUUGGUUUGGACUGAGCCCCUUCACUUAGGCCCAACCAGCCAAACCAAAAUGGAGCCUCUCAUGCUGAGGUUCCAUGUGCCAAGUGGAAACUAAGUUUAUCUGACCUUCCGUGGAAUCAGGAGAGUGAGAGGUUAAAACUGGUUUUAGCUGGCUUGGAAAGGACGUCCCCUCAGCUUUAACCUAUGCAAGGAAAAUAGUUGGAAAUGACCAACCUGCUUUUUGUGCCAUUCCCCCUUUCCUAGGCCUUCUCUGUGUGUAUAGCCAACCCCCGUGCCCAGCUCACUGCAACACCAUCCUAUGGUAUAGAACGAGGUGUUGCCCAAUUCUAGAAUUGCAAAUAAAAGCCAAUCAAGAUCUUUAAAUUUGUUGUAAUUUUGUCUUUUGACAGCCCUUAGACGUAGAGUGUUUAAAGCUCUGAUCCAAAUAAAGUCAGUCCCCUUGGCAGAGCUGUGGGCACAACCUGGGACCGGGACCGCCGCACCCAGGCUGGGUGUGGCACCUGCUUUUCCUGGAGCCACGCCCUGCUCUGCACGUGAGCACUGGGGGGGUGGCAGCUCUGGUCUUACCCAGAGCCUCCACCCUAUGAGCCAGCUGGGGUGGGGCCACCAGGAUCUAAGUACUGUCACCCUGCCACACCUGCAGUAGAGCUCCUCCUUCCAGGCCGGCCUGUGUGGGGAAGUCCUGCCUGCUGUAGCUCUGGAACAGGGGGGGGGCAGUGUGGAGAAAGGCCAGCAGCAUACCCCUCCCAGGGGGAAAUGGAGACGCAGACCAGGAGGUGGGAGGCGAGGGAGCCCUGUCUUUUCGGCCACCUGCCCUGAGUACAGCACCCCAGGUAAAAUUCCCGCAACACAGAAAUAGUGGGAGGUAGGGGGAGGGCAAGUGUAUGAUUUUUUUUUUCUGACACCAAAUACACGUCACUCUUCACACCAAUUCUCCAAUUCUCUGACACCAACUGGGUGCCCAACAUGCAAAAAUAAGUAAAAUUUUAAAUCUGUUGGAACCCCAAAAACAAUAAGCUGUGAGAGAGAUGUAACUAUGAUCUGAGUCACACAGUGUGUUUUGCAAUUCUGCUUCUUAGAUUACAGUUUAACUCUCUUGCUCAUCGUUCUUGUUCUGUAAGUGACUAGGGAAGACCAGAGACCAGACCUCCCUCCUCCAAUCACUGAUCUUUGUUGUAGAUUAACUGCCUCCUUUCUUGUCCUGUACCUAACGCAGAGGGCGCCCAAGACCCGGGACUGUUGUCUUCAAAUGUGGAAUGUUAAAUAUACCUUUCCCAAAAGAAAAUGACCACCUCGACUGGUUAGAUUAUUGUAACUAUGCAUUAAGUCCUACACAGAAGGAUGUUGAAAUUCUGUUGAAGUUCCCUAAGCUUGUCUACAUAAGCAGCCCCAAACUUCCAUGCUUGGGACACUGACUUCUGCUUCCUGGGCAGGCCUGUCCUCAGCCUUUGCAUUGGAAUAAAUUCUCUUUGAACUAGA
Microcebus murinus (gray mouse lemur) is the source of this 2447-nucleotide non-coding RNA. NCBI's taxonomy places the organism in Eukaryota, Metazoa, Chordata, Mammalia, Primates, Cheirogaleidae. The record is from RefSeq and is a predicted model, not a curated record.